GAUGAACGCUGGCGGCGUGCCUAAUACAUGCAAGUCGAGCGAACAGACGAGAAGCUUGCUUCUCUGAUGUUAGCGGCGGACGGGUGAGUAGCACGUGGAUAACCUACCUAUAAGACUGGGAUAACUUCGGGAAACCGGAGCUAAUACCGGAUAAUCUUUUGAACCGCAUGGUUCAAAAGUGAAAGACGGUCUUGCUGUCACUUAUAGAUGGAUCCGCGCUGCAUUAGCUAGUUGGUAAGGUAACGGCUUACCAAGGCAACGAUGCAUAGCCGACCUGAGAGGUUGAUCGGCCACACUGGAACUGAGACACGGUCCAGACUCCUACGGGAGGCAGCAGUAGGGAAUCUUCCGCAAUGGGCGAAAGCCUGACGGAGCAACGCCGCGUGAGUGAUGAAGGUCUUCGGAUCGUAAAACUCUGUUAUUAGGGAAGAACAUAUGUGUAAGUAACUGUGCACAUCUUGACGGUACCUAAUCAGAAAGCCACGGCUAACUACGUG
This 497-nucleotide ribosomal RNA is filed under the name uncultured bacterium. RNAcentral's name for it is "partial 16S ribosomal RNA". It matches the Rfam family "Bacterial small subunit ribosomal RNA", at positions 28 to 507 of the family's 1533-position model. The record is from RNAcentral.